This 109-nucleotide non-coding RNA is filed under the name bovine gut metagenome. RNAcentral describes it as "FMN riboswitch (RFN element)". It matches the Rfam family "FMN riboswitch aptamer (RFN element)". From Rfam's summary of the family: The RFN element is a highly conserved domain that is found frequently in the 5'-untranslated regions of prokaryotic mRNAs that encode for flavin mononucleotide (FMN) biosynthesis and transport proteins. This element is a metabolite-dependent riboswitch that directly binds FMN in the absence of proteins. The record is from RNAcentral.
CGUCUUCAGGGCAGGGUGUGAUUCCCGACCGGCGGUAAAGUCCGCGAGCCUCACGGCAUGAUCCGGUGUGAUUCCGGAACCGACAGUACAGUCUGGAUGGAAGAAGAUG